GCCUGAACCCAUUUAUAGUGAACUAGUAGAUUUGGCACCUCCUCCAUGUCGAUCUAGUAGGAUCUCUCAUCUUCCUAAAAGGUACUUAUGUAUACUUAUAGUGGAUGUUGAGGAAGUAUUCCUAAUAGGAGAUAGAGACCAUAAAGAUGAUCCCAAAAUCUAUAAUGAGACGAUGUUAGAUAUUGAUUCUAAGAAAUGAAAGAAAGCAAUGAAGUCAGAAAUUGACUCCAUACAUUCCAACC
Molecule: long non-coding RNA, 242 nt
Filed under: Elaeis guineensis (African oil palm)
Lineage: Eukaryota; Viridiplantae; Streptophyta; Magnoliopsida; Arecales; Arecaceae
Description: long non-coding RNA (EGUI_LNC003976)
Source: RNAcentral